This 3519-nucleotide long non-coding RNA is filed under the name Drosophila guanche. Lineage: Eukaryota; Metazoa; Arthropoda; Insecta; Diptera; Drosophilidae. The record is from RNAcentral.
AACUGUUCCAAUCUAUAAAACCUGGAAUUAUUCCCAUCUAUAUAGACAGGCGGUUCUUUGAUUGUAUAAAGAAAAGAAACCUCGAAGAGAUAUAAAGAAAAGAUAUGAAGAGACUUCUAGUUUUUAUAUAUUCCAUAUGGCUGUGAUAUCUGUCUUUAUAUAAACAUCUUUUUAUAUAAAAUAUAAUAUAAUUUUAUUAGAUUUGCUUAUUUACAAAGAACAAAAUGAUAUGUGUUUUCCCGGAAUUUAUGGCCGCCUUUGAAUGUUUAUAUCAAAUUAAAAUUCUCACGCGCCGUAUAAAAACAGACUUUCACAUAUUUUCCUGUAUAUAUUUGCAACCUUUGUCGUCUGGCUUCCUUCCAAACGUAUAUUAAAAACAAUAUUUCUUUCAGCAAAACCAAUCAAUAUGAGCGAAGCAAAGAACCUCAUGACCACCUUCGGCAUCCUGGCCUUCCUGCUCUUCUGCCUGUACCUCAUCUAUGCAGUAUUGUAGACACACAGGGCCCACUAGGAGGUCCUUAGAGCGGGAAUAUGGGGUAAGAAUUGUGAUGAAAUGGCUGCUGUAGUGUCCUACUGGACGAAUUUAAGUGGGAAAUAUUUAUUAACUUUAAGUCGGGAACUCUGUGCUGAACUCACGACUCUUUGGUUAGAAGACUUUCUGUGGUUGAAGGAUUCUCACCUAAUAAUUAUAUAGAUAGAUCUCAAUCCGGGAAUAACAUUCCAGAUUAAAUCGCUGUUGGUAUUUUUAAGUUAGAAAAUAAAUUUCUUAGUUUUUUAAUAGCCCGCGAGUCCCUGAAACGACUUCUCCAUUGCCAUAAUAAUUAUAUGAAAUGAACAUUCGUCUAACAAACAUCAAAAACAACACCAUAUUGGUGCUAGUUUCGAAAAUAAUUUCAGUUUCUAUAUGCAAGAAUCCAAUUAGCCAAAAAUCAAUAUCAAUCAAUUCAAUCAACAAUCAAACUCAUUAAGACCAAAAAUUGUGCAUAAACUCAAUGAGGGCACCGUGACCGUGAUUUGUAAUGUUUGAUGUGGAAUGAGAAAUUUCAAGAUUUCAUCAAUAUUUGGAUACAUUGCGGCAGCAAACAAGCGAAUCCAUUCGAUGGUUGAAAGUAAAUACAAAUAUAUAUCUUGAGGCAACAAACAGGCUGCUGGAGAAAAUGCCGCUCUCUGCCCACCGAUAGAUUACGUCCUCCAUGAACCACAGAAAAAUAAACAAAAUUAUUUGGAAAAUGUUUUCAAAUGACAAGGUCCACGAAUCAUAUUCUGAGAGAGAAGCCAAUUUGUCCAGUAAAUGAAUAAUUGCUGAAUGAGAGACAGAGAGAGAGAGAGAGAGAGACAUAGAUGAAGUUAAAUCCCAUGGAAUCCAAGCGUAUAUAUCUUGAAUAUGUACCAAACUAUAAGCUAAAUAUAUGUAUACGUACCCGCUGCUGUGGGUGCAUAAAAAUGUGGGAAAUAUUUGUGCCGCAGCGAAGAAAAUAUGAGCAACAACUGGACACCCAUACAAGCCCGAUCAAAAUAUCUGAAUAUAUGCAUGUUUUAUAUAUAUCUUUGAAUAUACUCUACAUAUAAUCCAUUCUAUGGGCGUGCGUGUGUCUUCUGGUAGAGCAAUAGUUCCAAGCGCUGGCCAACAUUUUGUGGAGAAGCGGAUUCAGAUCCGAAAAUUCAGAGUCUCAGUUAUUGCGUGCCUUUAGCUACGAACGGUUGGACCAGUCGCCCAAUAAAAUUAGCUAUACCCCUAAAAGUGUGUGUUUUUGUGUGCCAAUAGGAUUGCAUUUUAACUCAAUUAAUUCCACAUUUUUUCCCAUUGUAAUCAUCAGAAACCAACAACAACAACAACAACCCAAUCAAAAUGAAUGAGGCCAGAAGUUUGUUCACCACCUUCCUGAUCCUGGCCUUUUUGCUGUUCCUGCUCUAUGCCUUCUACGAAGCCGCAUUCUAAACAACCCACCCCACCCACCCAUCAACCCAAUCAAUCAUCAAUAAAUCAAGGAUAGCUUACAUGUUGAAUUUCAAUUCCAAGCCAAAUCAAUGAACAACUUGUGGCCUAGGAGGAGUUUUAGGACCUUACGCGUUUAAGAUGUUAGCAUUUAAUGGAUUUCUACUAGUAACCUAAGCCAGGUGAGUCCCAUCUUAGUAAGUGCUGCGCCUAAUUAAGUCAAUUACGCCCACGCAAGUCGAAUAAAAAAUCGUUCGAAAUGCCAAGCGGACAGAGGGAGAAACCUUGAGAGAACCUCAAGCGAUCGUUGAAAAUUUCUUGGCAGCCGCCGUUUGGCACUGGCAGCUCGAUAAUAAUUUCCAAAAAGAAUAAAUAGAUUUCCUUGUUCUAUUUUUUAACGACAACAUUUCGACAUGGCCCACUAAACACCUUCCUGCCCCACUCAACCUCUCGCUUCCCCUGAGACACAUUAAAAAUCGUUUUCACACUGAAUUCUUCCAAAUGUUUCACUCUGAUAUUUCGCAAUUUUGUGCUUCAAAUCUUGCCUGAAAUUUCCUCAAUGCGACAGAAGCAUAAAAAUGUUCAAAGACAUUUUUUAUGGUCAGAAUUUAUGAUACGCUGAAGGUGGAAAAUUAUAAUUAAUUUUUAUUAAAUAUUUCCCAAACUUUGUUGCGAUGGCAAAAAUGCAAUAUUCAGCGAAAAUUAAUACAGAAAAGAGACCAAAUCCCUCAAUGAAUUAUCUUGAACUAAAAAUAAACCUUGAAGAGAUUAUGGCCAUUGUUUAUGCCAAUUCGACCACUUGAAUAAACAAAACGCAAAUCAAAGGCGAAAGUAAAAGCGAAAAUAUAUUUAAGUCCCAAAACCGUUUUCAAUUGCAAACAAUCUUUCAAUCUGUGAGUUAUGGUACACCCAAUGUACAUACAUACAUGUGUAGUAUUUAACAAAAUAAUUCCCACAUUGCAGAUGACGUCAAAGCCACCAGCUGCCCCAUGUCAGGCCCCUCGAUUAGUUUAGCACGGUUCUCAGGGGGCUCGGCAACAUCAGCAUUAUCAUUAUGAUGAUGUAUGGUCCACCCAUGCUGAGAGGUAAGUACCAGUGAAUGCAAUUUCCCGCCGAUUCGGCUCACUUAUGGACAAAUAAUUUUGUAUUUUUUUUUUAGAGCUGCGCAACAGCGAUCCCUUCUCAAGGCUCUGGCGGCCACGGCGUCAUUUGUUCUAAUCAUAAAUUUUAUUUUAUGAUUUCUUUUUCGUUUACGUUUUGCAAUGAGAUUGACUUAAUUUACAAUUUAUAGACCAUGAUGUACAGUAAAUGCCAACGACAACAGCAACAGCAACAGCAGCAAGAACAACAGCAACAACCAUCAAUAAGAACAUUCAAGAAUUUUGUUAUAAUUUCAUUGCUUAGCCACAAAUUUAUUUUGCAUUCGUAUUUAGUAAGACUUACAUAAUUGUAUAACUGCAUUUUACUGGACUUUGAUUUAAUUUAUUGUCAAUAACAAACGUAUGCAACAAAACAACAAAAGCAACAACAACAGCAACCUACUGCAGGAAUAAAAGCAAAACCUAGAAACAAAGGAAAGAAAA